Biomphalaria glabrata is the source of this 224-nucleotide non-coding RNA. NCBI's taxonomy places the organism in Eukaryota, Metazoa, Mollusca, Gastropoda, Planorbidae. The record is from Rfam.
UAAAGUUGUAAAGUUCCUCUUUCAGACCUUGUGAUUUUUAAAAAAAGCUUAUGUCAAUUGUGUGUCUGUCUUUCUGGUACAAAUUAUUAGUCAAGAACAAAAGUCAGUGACACGAAGACGAUGAGGUACCGUCGUAGUUCUGACCCAUAUACUAUGCCACCUGGCCAUCCGCAGAAGUUGCUUCGAUGACUCUGGGGGCGGUCUCCAAUAAGCCUCGGGUUCCU